Molecule: long non-coding RNA, 650 nt
Organism: Scylla paramamosain (green mud crab)
Lineage: Eukaryota; Metazoa; Arthropoda; Malacostraca; Decapoda; Portunidae
Exons: 2
Source: RefSeq, a predicted model, not a curated record
GCUUUGGUCCUGGAGCACACACACACACACACACACACACACACACACACACACAAAGAGUACAAAGAGUAGUCACUAUGAUGGUUCCGGAGUUGAGUAAGUUGACCUUUGAAGAGAGAUUAAGAAUGCUGGAAAUUCCUAUCCUUGAAAAUAGGAGACAGAGAGGGGAUUUAAUAAACAUCUAUAGAAUGAUAAAUGGUAUGAAAAAUAUGAACAAAGAAUGUUUUAUAACUUUAGACACACAGAGUACAAGGGGACACAGUAAGAAAUUGAAGAAGUAAGAAGUUGAACUAUUGAAGAGACAUCAAAAAGUAUAGUUUUCCUCACAGAAGUGUGAACAAAUGGAAUGAACUCAGUGAAGAUGUUGUCAAUGCAAUAAUUGUGUAGGAGUACAUAGAUACACCAUUAGAAGUUCGAAGUAGGUUCCAGUAAUGCGGUUUGCACCUCGUUGGGUACUGCCACGGUCUCGGUCAUUCGGCUGACUGGACGCCUACCGAAAAUACCACACACUCACGCCUGCAGUGGUUUUCCUUUAUUGUGAUUUAAGCACCACCUGGAGUUUGGGCCUCUGUUGUAUACUUGCUGUGACCGUGUCUGGGGAAUCUAACUGCGCCUGUGAACAGCGCCCGCAAAUAAACUCACGGCACCUG